UGUUUCUAUUCGCUUUAACAAAUAAACAAACGAAUAAGCAACAGCUGAAAAAAAAAAUUAAAAUAAUCAUUAUUUUAUUGGAAAAUUGUUUACACAGUAUAGAAGUUAUAUAUGACCAAUGUGUCAUCGAAGAAAAGGUUUAUAUAUUCGUUGAUAUAGUUCAUUUAUUGUUGAAGGCGUUGACGAUGUAUAUGUAUCUGGCCGAGUUUGAGUUGAUAGACGAAAAUAUCAUGUUUGGCUAUAUCAACCAAUUUGUAAAAGUGAUAAAAAAAAACGCCUUACAAAAUUAUGAUCAUCAUAUAAAAAAUACAAUUAAUAAAUAUAUUUUAAAUUUUUUUGUUUAUAAUUAUAAAUAUUUAAUGCGGACAUAUGUACAAAAUGAAGAUUUAAAAAGUAUUUAUAUAAACAUUAUUUCGUUACUAUUCAUUGAUAUAAUGAAAAAUGAAAAUUGUGAAUUAGUAGUAAACCUGUUUGAUCUUAUAAAAUUGGAAGAAGAUAUGUAUAAUUCAUUUUGUAAACUUUUCUUAUCGAAUUAUAUUUUUAUUAUUAAACAUUUGAGCAUAAACAAGGGUUGUAAACAAUUGUUAAAUCAAAUAAAGAACCAGAUGUCAUUUGUUGAAAAUAUAAGUUACGAAGCAGUUACAAAAAAAAUAAUUAAAAAAAAUAAAAUUUUGAUAAAUAAUGAAAAUAUGUACGAACAGUUUAAUGUGAAUAAAAAACUUAGUAUCAUAAAAAACAGUUUCGAAAAAUUUUAUAUUACUAUAAAAUGUAAUAACUAUAAAAUGGAUUCGUUUUUUAACGACAAUAGAAUGGAAGAUGUGGAGUUCGAGCAUGGUCGUGUUAGUAGUGCAGUUGGUAGUUAUAAAAGCAACAGAAGUGACAGUAGUAGUAGUGGUAAUAGUGGUUGUAGUGGUAAUAGUGGUAGUAGUGGUAGUAGUAGGAAUGAAAGCAAUGGUAGUAGUGACAGUAUUAGUGAUAAAAGUGAUGAUAGUAAUAAAAGCGAUGAUAGUAAUAAAGGCGAUGAUAGUAAUAAAAGCAAAGGCCGAGUUGAUAAAGAAAAAAAAGUGAUGGUAAAUACGCGGUACCAAUUCGACAUAUGUGUAUUAAGUAAAAUAUUUUUGUCAUUACACACUAUUAAAAAUAUAGAAGAACAAUUAUUUUUAAUUUUAAAGAUUAUAUUUGAUAAUAUAAAAAAUUAUGGAAAAUAUAAUGAAUAUAUAUUAAUACAUAUUUUAUUUUGCUUUAUUAAUAAUUUAAAUACAAUGGAUAAAAAAAUGAUAAAUAAGAUAACGCUUUCUUAUUUUAUAAAAUAUUCUUUUUUGAUAUUAAAAAUACAAAAAAAGUAUAUAACGAAAAAUACAACUAACACUACUAAUAAUAACAACACUAAUUUGUUUAUACUUAAGUUGUUCUUUCGCACUAUUAACAAUUUUAUAUAUAUUAUGCAAAAUAAAUUAGUACAACAAACAGUAUUGGAAAAGCAGUUGCAACAAAUGGAGACCACUGUCCCUUGUAAUUAUAAUAAUUUAAAAAAAAAAAGGGACAAAAAAGAGGACCACAUAAAACAAACAUCGUCAGAUGAAAAUAGUAACUUAAUCAAUGGAAAUAAUAAAUUAAAAAAAAAAAAAAAAAAUAGAGAAAAAAAAAAAAUGAUAAAAAAAAAAAAAAAAGGAACAGAUGUAUGUUAUAUUUUUUUUAUCAAAUAUUUUAUAUUAACAUAUGACAUGUUAACAAAUAAAAACAGCACAGAUAUGAAUGAUGAAGAUGUAAUGUAUUUGCUAAGUCAUAUACAAGAUGAUUCAAGUGAUUUGGAUUUUAAACAAAGCAAUGAUUGCGAUUUUGUCAGUAAGAAAACCAAAGAAAUAAAAUCUUGGUUAGUCAAACUAAAAUCUUUUAUAGUAAAAUUAUUAACUAAUAAAAACACUAAAGUUAAUAGUAAGAGCAAACAUAUUAUAAAAAACUGGAAUACUACUGUAGUUAAAUUAAAUAUAUUUUUUUUUGAUUUAAUAGAAUAUAUUUUCUUUUCUUUCAUAUUUUUGAAUAAUAUUAGUGGCAUAAACGUACUAAAUAAAACUGACAAACACAUAUGUCGCAUUUUUAAGAAACUAAAUGUAAGCGAUGUGUUUUAUUCGGUUAAUGACGAAUUGAAAAUAUUUACGUAUGGCCUUAUGUUGUUCCAAGUGUUUAAUAUUGCAAAGACAGGGAAAGGGCAAGAUAAAAAUGGAAGUGGAAAUGGAGAGAGUAAUGAAAAGAGUAAUGAAAAUGGAGAGAGUAAUGNNNNNNNNNNGAAAAGAGUAAUGAAAAUGGAGAGAGUAAUGAAAAGAGUAAUGAAAAGAGAAAAAAAAAAAAGAACACACAUAAUAAGUUAA
This 2369-nucleotide long non-coding RNA is filed under the name Piliocolobus tephrosceles (Ugandan red Colobus). RNAcentral describes it as "lncRNA (ENSPTEG00000001195.1)". Lineage: Eukaryota; Metazoa; Chordata; Mammalia; Primates; Cercopithecidae. The record is from RNAcentral.